UGAAUUUAAAAGAUCAUUCUUCGUAUAACCUCAACGAUAUGGGUUGGGGGUCUCUACAAGGUUCCGUAAAAACCUAGCUACGAAGAGAGUGCACAAGUGU
Molecule: non-coding RNA, 100 nt
Filed under: Halalkalibacter wakoensis
Lineage: Bacteria; Bacillati; Bacillota; Bacilli; Caryophanales; Bacillaceae
Also listed under: 1 other name
Description: Bacillus wakoensis Guanine sequence
Rfam family: Purine riboswitch aptamer
About the family: Riboswitches are metabolite binding domains within certain messenger RNAs that serve as precision sensors for their corresponding targets. Allosteric rearrangement of mRNA structure is mediated by ligand binding, and this results in modulation of gene expression.
Source: RNAcentral